RNAcentral lists this small RNA (149 nucleotides) under Paraburkholderia phenazinium. The record is from RNAcentral. Lineage: Bacteria; Pseudomonadati; Pseudomonadota; Betaproteobacteria; Burkholderiales; Burkholderiaceae.
CACGUAAAAUGCCGCGCAUACGACUCGUGGAAGCUGGUGAAACUCCAGCGCGGUCGCGCCACUGUGACCGGUUCAGCCUGAACCGGAAGUCAGACCUCGGCGUCGUAUCCCUCUUCCGACUUUGGGGCGCGUAAUCCCCAGGAGCUAUC